UACGGAGGGUGCGAGCGUUGUCCGGAAUCACUGGGCGUAAAGGGCGCGUAGGUGGCCUGUGGAAGUCUGCGGUGAAAGCCCGGCGCUCAACGCCGGGUCUGCCGUGGAUACUCUCGGGCUUGAGCUUACUAGAGGCAGAUGGAAUUCCGGGUGUAGCGGUGGAAUGCGUAGAGAUCCGGAAGAACACCGGUGGCGAAGGCGGUCUGCUGGGGUAAUGCUGACACUGAUGCGCGACAGCGUGGGGAGCAAACAGG
Molecule: ribosomal RNA, 254 nt
Filed under: uncultured bacterium
Lineage: Bacteria
Description: partial 16S ribosomal RNA
Rfam family: Bacterial small subunit ribosomal RNA
Source: RNAcentral